RNAcentral lists this transfer RNA (65 nucleotides) under Muscina levida. RNAcentral describes it as "tRNA-Leu". The record is from RNAcentral. Lineage: Eukaryota; Metazoa; Arthropoda; Insecta; Diptera; Muscidae.
GCUAUUUUGGCAGAUUAGUGCAAUAAAUUUAGAAUUUAUUUAUGUAAUUUAUAUUACAAGUAGUA